UACAGAGGGUGCGAGCGUUGUCCGAAAUCACUGGGCGUAAAGGGCGCGUAGGCGGCUUGAUAAGUAGGGGGUGAAAUCUUGCGGCUCAACUGCAAGGCUGCCUCCUAAACUGUCAGGCUUGAGCACAGUAGAGGCAGGUGGAACUCCCGGUGUAGCGGUGGAAUGCGUAGAGAUCGGGAAGAACACCAGUGGCGAAGGCGGUCUGCUGGGCCGUUGCUGACGCUGAGGCGCGACAGCGUGGGGAGCAAACAGG
RNAcentral lists this ribosomal RNA (253 nucleotides) under uncultured bacterium. Its description in RNAcentral is "partial 16S ribosomal RNA". It matches the Rfam family "Bacterial small subunit ribosomal RNA", at positions 524 to 776 of the family's 1533-position model. The record is from RNAcentral.